RNAcentral lists this transfer RNA (87 nucleotides) under Ignavibacteriota bacterium. RNAcentral describes it as "Ignavibacteriae bacterium tRNA-Ser". It matches the Rfam family "tRNA". Rfam says of the family: Transfer RNA (tRNA) molecules are approximately 80 nucleotides in length. Their secondary structure includes four short double-helical elements and three loops (D, anti-codon, and T loops). Further hydrogen bonds mediate the characteristic L-shaped molecular structure. tRNAs have two regions of fundamental functional importance: the anti-codon, which is responsible for specific mRNA codon recognition, and the 3' end, to which the tRNAs corresponding amino acid is attached (by aminoacyl-tRNA synthetases). tRNAs cope with the degeneracy of the genetic code in two manners: having more than one tRNA (with a specific anti-codon) for a particular amino acid; and 'wobble' base-pairing, i.e. permitting non-standard base-pairing at the 3rd anti-codon position. The record is from RNAcentral. Lineage: Bacteria; Pseudomonadati; Ignavibacteriota.
GGAGAGGUGCAGGAGUGGCUGAACUGGCACGCCUGGAAAGCGUGUGUACGGGCAACCGUACCGUGGGUUCGAAUCCCACUCUCUCCG